Globicephala melas (long-finned pilot whale) is the source of this 6831-nucleotide long non-coding RNA. RefSeq lists it as uncharacterized. NCBI's taxonomy places the organism in Eukaryota, Metazoa, Chordata, Mammalia, Artiodactyla, Delphinidae. The record is from RefSeq and is a predicted model, not a curated record.
AAGCGGGAGCCGGGGGUGAGGGGCGGGACGCUGUGUGCUCGGGGUCCGAGGCGCGCCGGGCGGAGGAGUGGCCCUGCGGUCUCCCCACCCCUUUGCGCUUCCUACCCGGCUCGCGUCUGGGAGACCCCGGGAGUCAGGAUGCCCGAUCCCUCAGCGAUGCUGCGGGCCAGGUUCCUGGGGCAGCGACUGCUGGGACACCUGGGUCAGGGAAGCUGGGAAGUGUGGCGUCUGGAACUCAGUGUUAUUCGUCCAUUCGGGAACCUCUGGUCCCGGGGAAUGAUGGAAUGAUGGAAUGAUUUCCAUACACCCGACCCACUCCCCUGUGAGACCAGUGGUCUGUGUUACGUGCCAUAUGGUACAUGGCGGUGCUCAAGAAUCUUAAGGCUGUGCUGUCAGAUUAUUGUAGCUAUUUAGAUUUAAAUUAAAUUAGAAGUUCAGUGUCUCAGUUGCACUAGCCAUAUUUCAAUGUCUCCGUGUGUGUUUGGAGGAUAGUGUCUGGCUAGUGGUAGCCAUCCUCGACAGAGCAGAUAUCCCAUCAUUGUAGAAAGUUGUGCUGGACAGUGCUGCCUUAAGGCCUGUUGGGGCCCUGGAGGAAGAUUGUAUAGGUGAGUGCUGGGCAGUAACAGGACCUGGCCUGCCUGUCCCCAUUCCACCUCUCCCAGGCCUGUCCAGAGACUUAGGCCCAGAGGGGAUGCCUGCAGACCAGCGAGGGUGCUCAAAGAGCUAGCUCAGGGGGAUCUCGAAGCCAUGGAACCAGAGGGGCCACCAAGAUGUUGCUGUCAUCAUCGCGUAAGCAGUCAGACCCUUAGGGAGAAGGGGCUUUUUGGCCUGGAAUCCCACCCACCUCUCUCCCCUGAUCAGUCUCCCUGUGGCAAAGUUGGGGCCUGACUCACAAUGCACUUGACCUCGAUGGCGUCCCCGAGUAGCGUUUGAUCCUUCUGGGUUCAGUAUCCCAAUCUGUCACCCAUGUGAUCCUGCCUGCCCUCCUCCCCGGGUGGGGGGCUGGGUGGGAAGGAUGGCUGAGUGGGAGGACACAUGUUCACUGAUUCAGAGCACCUGCACUGAGGCAUCUCUUCAGUUUUUCCUAUGUGCCAUCUUAGCUGGGGGGACACAAUCUCCUUGUCGGGGCCCCACCCCAAACUCGCCAGUCACCUGGAGGAGGGGUUUCAGUCCUGCGUCCGAGACUCAAGAGGGAAGAGAACUGGGGUCUGAUCAGUCCUCGAGGCCUUCGGGUGGCCCAGCGCCUGCCCAGGUGCCAAGGGCAGAGUGCUUUAGAUGGUACUCCCAGUUUGACCAGCCUUUUGGAGCCACCCACCCCCCACCAGGCCGGUGGGGCUGGAGUCAGAAGACCUUCAAGAGGGCUGUGUGUGGGCACCCACACUAGCCUGCCCUAGGGACCCGCAGGCAGGUCUACCAGCCACCUGCACACUCAGGGUAAGUUAACAUCAGGGGGCUUCUCGCCCUCCUGGUCCCCUGGACUUGGGUGAGCAGGGAUUGGGUCUCAUCCCUUCUCUCCUGGGCACCUCCCAGCGGCCAGUUCUGCACACGGAAGCGGUGGAAUGGGGCCGUCCUGCAGGUCCAGAGGAGCUAUUACCACUUCUGCCCACCCACCCCCAGCGGGGGCGGUGCCUUCCACCCCACAUUUUUUUUUUUUUUUUUUGGCACGCGGGCCCCUCACCGCUGUGGCCUCUCCCGCUGUGGAGCACAGGCUCUGCAUGAGCAGGCCCAGCGGCCAUGGCUCACGGGCCCAGCCGCUCUGCGGCAUGUGGGAUCCUCCCGGACCGGGGCACGAACCCACGUCUCCUGCAUCGGCAGGCGGACUCCCAACCACUGCGCCACCAGGGAAGCCCCACCCCACAUUUUUGUAAGGAACCAACACAAGCCAGUCUUACGGGAGCAAACAGACCUGUUCUAUGGUAUUAAAGGCAGCCCACCAAGGCACUGUGCGGGCCAUAGGGGUCGUCUCCACUCUCCACCCUGUCCCUGUCCUGCAGAGGACAGCGCCUUCAGUGCUGGGGGACGGGGGCACUGCCUGCUGACAAAGGUCCAGGGUGGCUGCAGCGUAGUCCUCCUGUCACCCCACCCCAAACCACUUAGGGGAGAGGAACCUGAAAGCCGGGACUGCUAGAGGCUGGGGCUUCUCCCAUAGGAAUUUUCAUACACCAGCCUUUUGAUGAUCAAAUGCUGGCUGGCUUGGGUGGGCUGAUGCAGCUGACACUCCGCCUGCACCCCAGCUCUCCCCGAUGCACGUGGACUAGGUACCCCUAUUCAAGUGCGCUGGCACUGGGAGGGGAGUGGGUCCCUGGCCUCACUUGCCAGCAGGUGGACACGGAGGCAGGAGGGCUUCCAGGAAGCCUGUGGUGUUCAGCUGGGGGCUGUGUUGUCCCUGGGUCAGAGGUCCUAGGGAUACCUGGGCCUCUGGUGGCAGCCGAAGCUGGAUGGUUCUCAGAAUGGAGCUGGUGGGACAAAAGGCUGAUGGGACCCACAGAUGUCCUUCAGCCUGGCCCGGGCUCUGACAUCCUGGCAGCCCUGUCACCCAGGACCAGGUCAGCAGGUGAGGGGGUGUACCAGCAAGGAUGUCAUGAGCACACGGGGUAGAAACGUGGGCUCAGGUCCUGGCUCCUGACCUCCUAGCUGGGCAAACCGCUCAGCUCACCUGAGGUUACAGACGGAGCCACCGGAGCCUCACCUGCCACGUGGAGGCAACAGCAGGAGCUUGUUUAUGGGGUUGAUGAAAAGUGACACGAGCUAUGAGGGGCUUGUGGCAAGUAAGUGGCAGCUGGCAAGCUUCCAAAGCUGUGUGAAAGUCGGGUGAGCCACGGAGAGCUGCAUUUGGGUUAUGACGAGGGCUGUGGCUCUUGGACGUGGGGGCUGCUGACUGGUGACAUCGCACCGGGCUGGGUGCUGACCUGCAGGGUGUGGUGUGUGCUCUGAGCCAGGGACCGUCACAGCUGGAAGCCCAGAUGUGCAAGAGGGUUGGGAGGAGGAAGACCCUUUCCCAACCGCCCCAGUGCGUCACUCGCAGAGUGUGAGCUUCCCAUCCCCACAGCUUUGGGCUCUGCUGGGUCAGAGGCCUUCAUCUGCAGGUAGGAUGCUUCCAUGUGGGGACACAGCUGGACAGGAGGCUGAGACACCACUUCACCAUCUGGGCUCCACAAGCCUCAAAUCGGGAGUUGCUCUGCUGGGUGAGGUGACUGAUCGCACCAUGCAGCUUGCAGGAUCUUAGUUCCCUGACCAGGGAUUGAACGUGGGUCCCAGGAGUGAAGGCACCGACUCCUAACCACUGGACCGCCAGGGAAUUCCCUGAUCCUGACUUUCAAGGGGCAGCAGGGCUUUGCUGCUGCUCAGGGGGGCCAGGAGGAGUAUGCUGGAACUCAGGGCAUUCUCCUGAUGCCACCCACUACUCCUUGGUUGUAUUGCAGAGGUCACAGAGGCCAGAGCGCCAGUGCAGGCAGGACCACUCAGGGCUCAUCAGACACCCGAUUAGGAAAGACCAGGACCUGAGGCACUGGCUGAGGGUCAAGGAAAAUGAUAAACGUCAACUACAGUAUUUUAUUCAUAACCUUGUUAUGUAUAUAUUUGUAUAUUAACCAGGGAUUAUGUUAUCUGUAACUCAUAUGUGUUACCCAAUUUUUCCUUUACUCUUUCCCCACUAUCUUAUUUAAGGAGUGUUGGUGAUUAGUCUUCUAGUAUAGUCUUUAGGCUGUAGUGUGUCCAGGCGGGGUGCCUCUGAACCAGAAGAGGAACCAACAGGCUCAGAGACAUGGGUGGUCAUUGCAUUGUUGACAUGACCUUGGCUGCAGGAUGUUAGGCUGGGACUCAUUGCUGUUGCUGAAACUGGGAGGCCAGUAAGGUAGGAGGUGGGUACGGACACUGAGACCCCCAAGGGUGCCCACAUUGGGUGGUCUGUCACACAGCCUCGAGCCCUCACUACGUGUCACAGCAGCUACAAGUCUGGAAACUGGGCCCGCACCACCUGAAUCGCAUGUUGCGUUUUGUGAUGGGGCCAGUGUGAGGUUUGGGAAAGCCACUGUGGCUUGAGCAGGUGGCAGGCAUGAGGUUCUGCCAGCAGCCCCCCAGAAGCCCCCCACAUCAGAGUGGCAGGCAGCCAGGAACAGGGUGGCGGGUCUCCAUGACUCCUGUACUUCCCCAUCUCCUGACCUUGGCUCCCUGGCCUCCAUCUCUCUGUAGUAAAUGUGUUUCUGGCUAGAAUUCUUCAAGUGGUUUUGAUGUUCCUGACCAAGCUCUGUCUAAUAAACCUGCUGACGAGGGGCGGUACGGUUCUCAGUUCUCUCCUCGGCGGACACACCCCAGCCCUACCGUCAAGGCGGGACAGAGACCUUCAGGAAGUUGCAGAAAAUAAAAAAUCCGUGGGACGUGAGGCAGGAGAGGACAGACCACCCCCCAGUCAGUGCACGAACUACCUCUUCCCACCCCGAGGCUGCAGGAAACUCCAAGCGCCCCGCUUUGGGGUUGGGCCGUCCUCAAGGGCUGACCCAUUAGGGCUCAGUCGGGCCCGAGGGCUCCCCGGGCAGGCGGGACCACGACUGCAGGGCCUCCUCGUACUUCUGGAGCUGGGACCAGAAGCCCGGGUUGGGCUCGGCCACCGGGCGGGCGCUCUUCACAGUCUGCAAACGAGAGGCUUUGGCUAGACACCGCGCAGCGUCGGCUGCAAGCUCCGCUGGCAUUCCCAACGCCCGGAGGCCCCGCCCCAACGAGCGGGCCCUCCUCGAAGCCCCGCCCCCACGGGCGGGCCCCCGCCCCUGCCUAGAGCCUCGCCCCUCCCAGAAGGCCCCGCCUCUUCCCGCCGGAAGCCCCGCCACGAGAAAGUCCCGCCCUACCUGGAAGGCCCGCUCCCGCGUGAGGCCGCGAUGACGCAUGAGGUAGGCGGUGCAGACGGCGGCCGAGCGGCUGCGGCCGUUCUUGCAGUAGACGAGGCAGGCACCACCGGCGCGUACCGCGGCCUCCAUGGCGGCACAGGUCCAGACAUCACCUACGUAGAGGCCUUCUCGGCAUCCGUUUCCUUCUUCUGUGGCCUAAGGAAGGAUUCUGACUUUCCUGGGAUGGGAUUCCCAUUUUUCCCAGAGUUCACGGGAGCCAUCCAAGUAGGUGGAGAUUCCCUGUCCCCCAGCUCCAGAAUCGGGCUUCUGAUUACGUCCAGUCAGUGACGCCUAUACCCCCAUGACUGCUCCGGGAAAGGGCUUGGGCUGCCAUGUGAACCAGAGAGGAGAGAGGGGCUUGGAAACCUCUGUCCUCUCCUUAUGAGCACAAAGGGAAGCCAGCCUUGGUUGAAAGCACAGCUGAAGAAACGGUCCUCGAAGAUAUUGCUGGGCCACUGGAUCAAACCAAACCUGAAGAGCCUCCAGCUUCUGGACUGUUUGGUUUCCUGAGCCAUCCAAUCACCCUUUGCUGUUGGAUAUUUGAGGUGGAUUUUCUGUUCCAAGGCCUCUUAACUGAUAACCUCACACUCCUUCACCCCAUUGAGUUAAUGAAUCGUCGACACCACCUGCCCACCACACCAUGGCCCAGUGGUUUUCAAAGCGUGGUGGGAACUUGGUAGCAAUGCACGUUCUCAGGAGUCCACCUACUCAGGACCUGCUGAAGCGGAAACCCUGGGAGUGAGACACAGGAAGCUCUGUGUUACCAUGCCCUCCGUGUGAUUCUGAUAAAAGAUAAAAACCUAACCAUCAUUUAGUUGAUCUAAAAAAUUCAUCCCGGAGGCCCCAGAGGGGGAAGAGGAGGAGCCCGAGGGUCCCCUUAGGGAGCAGGACCUGAAGGAGGCCCGCAUCGAGCUCGCCCAGGGUGUGCAGGAGUGGCAGGACGGCUGCGUCUACCGAGGAGAGUUCAGCAGGACAUGAAGCUGGGAUGCGGAGCAUUCUCUCGGCCCACGGGCGAGGCAAGUCGUUCCUGGUGCUCUCCCCUCUCCGGCCCCAGUUCAGCCAGCCACGGCCUGUCCCUCUCCUUCGGAGAGGCACGUGCUGUGAGCUCAUAGAUCCACCGAUGGGAAGGAUGCUAGGCAAAUGUCCUUCCUAUUUGAGAAACACCCAGAGAGACUUCUGAGAUCACGUCCGAGGUUCGCCUGGGUGUCCACAGGCUGCAGCUCGGGAAACUGUGACUUCAGAAGAUAAGUUCUUAUUCUAGGCAAAUAUUUUAAAAUUGCGAAUUAGUGUCGUGAGUUGUAUAUUUGUAUUGAUGAAAUUGCCUUGUUUUUAAGCUCAAACAGAAAAAGUGGAUCUUCCUAAAAGUGAAAGUGCACUUUUGCGCCCCUGCAGCAGGCGGUGUCAGGACCUCAGUGGGGACUCUGAGGGGCCCGUGGCAGGAGCUGUUGGCGCCACCUGGCGUCCCCGCGAGGGUGGAGCAGCCGUGCGUCUGGCGAACCUGGGGGUAUGCUGUGGCCUGGGGGCUUAGUGCGCCUCUCCCGGGGGAAGCUGGCUUCUGAAGGCUUCCCAACAGUGUGCUGCAGGUGCGCUGGUGGAGGAUUCUGCCCUGCUUGCAGGGUUGUGUGGCUCAGUGGGGACCUAAGUGCGUCUUUUGCUUGCAGAUGAUAAAAACCGUCUGGAGGCACUGUAGGGGUGUGUGCGUUUGGGGGGUUGGAAAGGCAUCAGAGGGCAGGACACCUGGCACUGAAGCUCUUCUGGGAAGCAGGCGCUGGCUGGCACAACCUCCUAGGGGCUGUGUAGGGUUCCGGCUCUGCCCCUCUCUCUUCCAGGCUUGGUUCUGCCUGUGGGGCCCCGGUUCACCUGGUUUUGGCGCCCAAGGCUGGGGGACCUCGCCCAGCCUCUCACCUCCUGCACUUAGUCUCCCGAGUCCAGGGGAGAGCGGGGCAGGGAG